This 661-nucleotide ribosomal RNA is filed under the name uncultured organism. RNAcentral's name for it is "bacterial SSU rRNA". It matches the Rfam family "Bacterial small subunit ribosomal RNA", at positions 1 to 663 of the family's 1533-position model. The record is from RNAcentral.
GGCUUAGAGUUUGAUCAUGGCUCAGGAUGAACGCUGGCGGCGUGCCUAACACAUGCAAGUCGAGCGAAGCGCUUUACUUUGAGAUCUUCGGAAGGAUAAGUUUUGUGACUGAGCGGCGGACGGGUGAGUAACGCGUGGGUAACCUGCCUCAUACAGGGGGAUAACAGUUAGAAAUGACUGCUAAUACCGCAUAAGACCACAGCACCGCAUGGUGCGGGGGUAAAAACUCCGGUGGUAUGAGAUGGACCCGCGUCUGAUUAGCUAGUUGGUAAGGUAACGGCUUACCAAGGCAACGAUCAGUAGCCGACCUGAGAGGGUGACCGGCCACAUUGGGACUGAGACACGGCCCAAACUCCUACGGGAGGCAGCAGUGGGGAAUAUUGCACAAUGGGGAAACCCUGAUGCAGCGACGCCGCGUGAGCGAAGAAGUAUUUCGGUAUGUAAAGCUCUAUCAGCAGGGAAGAAACUGACGGUACCUGACUAAGAAGCACCGGCUAAAUACGUGCCAGCAGCCGCGGUAAUACGUAUGGUGCAAGCGUUAUCCGGAUUUACUGGGUGUAAAGGGAGCGUAGACGGAUAGGCAAGUCUGGAGUGAAAGCCCGGGGCUCAACCCCGGGACUGCUUUGGAAACUGUUUAUCUAGAGUGCUGGAGAGGUAAGUG